GUGAAGAUGCAGUGUACCCGCGGCAAGACGGAAAGACCCCGUGAACCUUUACUAUAGCUUGACACUGAACAUUGAGCCUUGAUGUGUAGGAUAGGUGGGAGGCUUUGAAGUGUGGACGCCAGUCUGCAUGGAGCCGACCUUGAAAUACCACCCUUUAAUGUUUGAUGUUCUAACGUGGACCCGUAAUCCGGGUUGCGGACAGUGUCUGGUGGGUAGUUUGACUGGGGCGGUCUCCUCCUAAAGAGUAACGGAGGAGCACGAAGGUUGGCUAAUCCUGGUCGGACAUCAGGAGGUUAGUGCAAUGGCAUAAGCCAGCUUGACUGCGAGCGUGACGGCGCGAGCAGGUGCGAAAGCAGGUCAUAGUGAUCCGGUGGUUCUGAAUGGAAGGGCCAUCGCUCAACGGAUAAAAGGUACUCCGGGGAUAACAGGCUGAUACCGCCCAAGAGUUCAUAUCGACGGCGGUGUUUGGCACCUCGAUGUCGGCUCAUCACAUCCUGGGGCUGAAGUAGGUCCCAAGGGUAUGGCUGUUCGCCAUUUAAAGUGGUACGCGAGCUGGGUUUAGAACGUCGUGAGACAGUUCGGUCCCUAUCUGCCGUGGGCGCUGGAGAACUGAGGGGGGCUGCUCCUAGUACGAGAGGACCGGAGUGGACGCAUCACUGGUGUUCGGGUUGUCAUGCCAAUGGCACUGCCCGGUAGCUAAAUGCGGAAGAGAUAAGUGCUGAAAGCAUCUAAGCACGAAACUUGCCCCGAGAUGAGUUCUC
This 761-nucleotide ribosomal RNA is filed under the name Salmonella enterica. RNAcentral's name for it is "partial 23S ribosomal RNA". It matches the Rfam family "Bacterial large subunit ribosomal RNA", at positions 2053 to 2813 of the family's 2925-position model. The record is from RNAcentral. Lineage: Bacteria; Pseudomonadati; Pseudomonadota; Gammaproteobacteria; Enterobacterales; Enterobacteriaceae.